RNAcentral lists this ribosomal RNA (484 nucleotides) under uncultured bacterium. Its description in RNAcentral is "partial 16S ribosomal RNA". It matches the Rfam family "Bacterial small subunit ribosomal RNA", at positions 30 to 507 of the family's 1533-position model. The record is from RNAcentral.
AUUGAACGCUGGCGGCAGGCCUAACACAUGCAAGUCGAGCGGAUGAGUGGAGCUUGCUCCAUGAUUCAGCGGCGGACGGGUGAGUAAUGCCUAGGAAUCUGCCUGGUAGUGGGGGACAACGUUUCGAAAGGAACGCUAAUACCGCAUACGUCCUACGGGAGAAAGUGGGGGAUCUUCGGACCUCACGCUAUCAGAUGAGCCUAGGUCGGAUUAGCUAGUUGGUGAGGUAAAGGCUCACCAAGGCGACGAUCCGUAACUGGUCUGAGAGGAUGAUGAGUCACACUGGAACUGAGACACGGUCCAGACUCCUACGGGAGGCAGCAGUGGGGAAUAUUGGACAAUGGGCGAAAGCCUGAUCCAGCCAUGCCGCGUGUGUGAAGAAGGUCUUCGGAUUGUAAAGCACUUUAAGUUGGGAGGAAGGGCAGUAAGUUAAUACCUUGCUGUUUUGACGUUACCAACAGAAUAAGCACCGGCUAACUUCGUG